GGAUGAAGAACGUAGCGAAAUGCGAUAAGUAAUGUGAAUUGCAGAAUUCAGUGAAUCAUCGAAUCUUUGAACGCACAUUGCGCCCCCUGGUAUUCCGGGGGCAUGCCUGUCCGAGCGUCAUUACAACCCUCAAGCUCAGCUUGGUGUUGGGCCCCGCCGCCCCGGCGGGCCCUAAAGUCAGUGGCGGUGCCGUCCGGCUCCGAGCGUAGUAAUUCUUCUCGCUCUGGAGGUCCGGUCGUGUGCUCGCCAGCAACCCCCAAUUUUUUUCAGGUUGACCUCGGAUCAGGUAGGGAUACCCGCUGAACUUAAGCAUAUCAAUAAGCGGAGGA
RNAcentral lists this unclassified non-coding RNA (329 nucleotides) under soil metagenome. Its description in RNAcentral is "partial contains 5.8S ribosomal RNA, internal transcribed spacer 2, and large subunit ribosomal RNA". The stretch from base 2 to 120 matches the Rfam family "5.8S ribosomal RNA", at positions 35 to 154 of the family's 154-position model. The record is from RNAcentral.